GAUUUUGGGCGUAAGGGCUCGCAGGCGGUUUCUUAAGUCUGAUGUGAAAGCCCCCGGCUCAACCGGGGAGGGUCAUUGGAAACUGGGGAACUUGAGUGCAGAAGAGGAGAGUGGAAUUCCACGUGUAGCGGUGAAAUGCGUAGAGAUGUGGAGGAACACCAGUGGCGAAGGCGACUCUCUGGUCUGUAACUGACGCUGAGGAGCGAAAGCGUGGGGAGCGAACAGGAUUAGAUACCCUGGUAGUCCACGCCGUAAACGAUGAGUGCUAAGUGUUAGGGGGUUUCCGCCCCUUAGUGCUGCAGCUAACGCAUUAAGCACUCCGCCUGGGGAGUACGGUCGCAAGACUGAAACUCAAAGGAAUUGACGGGGGCCCGCACAAGCGGUGGAGCAUGUGGUUUAAUUCGAAGCAACGCGAAGAACCUUACCAGGUCUUGACAUCCUCGGACGAUCCUAGAGAUAGGACGUCCCCUUCGGGGGCAGAGUGACAGGUGGUGCAUGGUUGUCGUCAGCUCGUGUCGUGAGAUGUUGGGUUAAGUCCCGCAACGAGCGCAACCCUUGAUCUUAGUUGCCAGCAUUCAGUUGGGCACUCUAAGGUGACUGCCGGUGACAAA
This 611-nucleotide ribosomal RNA is filed under the name Bacillus subtilis. RNAcentral's name for it is "bacterial SSU rRNA". It matches the Rfam family "Bacterial small subunit ribosomal RNA", at positions 547 to 1162 of the family's 1533-position model. Lineage: Bacteria; Bacillati; Bacillota; Bacilli; Caryophanales; Bacillaceae. The record is from RNAcentral.